Long non-coding RNA from Ochotona curzoniae (black-lipped pika), 337 nucleotides. RefSeq lists it as uncharacterized. The record is from RefSeq and is a predicted model, not a curated record. The transcript has 3 exons. NCBI's taxonomy places the organism in Eukaryota, Metazoa, Chordata, Mammalia, Lagomorpha, Ochotonidae.
CAAGCGAAUUUCUUAUUCCCCAUCACGUGUGAGAGAAGAGCUGGCAACAGCGGCCUCAGCAUGAAGCUGGUGGUGGUCCUCAUGCUCCUCGCCCUGCCACUUUACUGCUCUGCAGGUUCUGGCUGCCAAUUUCUGGAAAACGUGAUUACAAUGACAAUUGAUCCAGCUGACACAAUAUACAACAGCACUUUGUGCAGCGAGUAUUAACUUCCUGCAAGGCCUUCAGUUCAGAGAAGUGCAGCUGCUGAUAACCACCAACUAUGUCUAGCCUUCUUAUUUGGUCUUCUUAGCCUCAGAUUACCUGAUAAUUGUUGAAGCCUCCAUGCUUUUCCUUUUA